AGUGAACGCUGGCGGUAGGCCUAACACAUGCAAGUCGAACGGCAGCACAGUACGAGCUUGCUAUUACGGGUGGCGAGUGGCGGACGGGUGAGGAAUACAUCGGAAUCUACUUUUUCGUGGGGGUUAACGUAGGGAAACUUACGCUAAUACCGCCUACGACCUACGUGUGAAAGCAGGGGAUCUUCCGACCUUGCGCGAUUGAAUGAGCCGAUGUCGUAUUAGCUGGUUGGCGGGGUAGAGGCCCACCAAGGCGACGACGGGUAGCUGGUCUGAGAGGGUGAACGGCCACAGAGGGACUGAGAUACGGCCCAGACGACUACGGGAGGCAGCAGUGGGGAAGAUUGCAAAAUGGGCGCAAGACUGAUGCAGCGACGCCGCGUGGGGGAUGACGGUCUGCGGGUUGUAAACUCCUUGCGCUAGGGACGAAGCUUUUUGUGACGGUACAUAGAUAAGAAGCACCGGCUAACUACGUG
This 473-nucleotide ribosomal RNA is filed under the name uncultured bacterium. RNAcentral describes it as "partial 16S ribosomal RNA". It matches the Rfam family "Bacterial small subunit ribosomal RNA", at positions 29 to 507 of the family's 1533-position model. The record is from RNAcentral.